RNAcentral lists this ribosomal RNA (228 nucleotides) under uncultured bacterium. RNAcentral describes it as "partial 16S ribosomal RNA". It matches the Rfam family "Bacterial small subunit ribosomal RNA", at positions 103 to 334 of the family's 1533-position model. The record is from RNAcentral.
CGGGUGAGUAAUGUAUGGGGAUCUGCCUGAUGGCGGGGGAUAACUACUGGAAACGGUAGCUAAUACCGCAUAAUGUCUGCGGACCAAAGCGGGGGACCUCCGGGCCUCGCGCCAUCAGAUGAACCCAUAUGGGAUUAGCUAGUAGGUAAGGUAACGGCUUACCUAGGCGACGAUCCCUAGCUGGUCUGAGAGGAUGAUCAGCCACACUGGGACAGAGACACGGCCCAG